Molecule: long non-coding RNA, 829 nt
Filed under: Anolis carolinensis (green anole)
Lineage: Eukaryota; Metazoa; Chordata; Lepidosauria; Squamata; Anolidae
Description: lncRNA (ENSACAG00000032656.2)
Source: RNAcentral
CAAUUGGUUACUCUUUAUCUCAAAGAAGCUGACUGCAACUUAGACAUUUAUGCAUAUAUUUUCAUUCCUUUACUAGGUCCCUGUGGCAUAGACACCGAGAACUGGGAAGCCUUGGCCCUUGAGAGCUCUAACUGGAGGUCAGCUGUGACCAGCAGUGCUGCAGAAUUUGAAGUGGCAAGAAUGGAGGGCUUAAAGGAGAAACGUGCCAAUAGGAAGGCGUGUCAAGCCAGCCCUGACCUGGACCACCUUCCACCUGGAAACCGAUGUCCUAACUUCGGAAGAGCAUGUGGGGCUCACCGGGAAACCUUGUAUGAGCAUGCGACAGCCUCUUCAUGUGCUGCAUGAUGCUGAAUAGGAGAGGAGGAGCUGUGACCAGCUGCCACAUGACCCAUUUUGGCCAAAACAACCCAAAAAACAAGGCGGCUGAGCCCUUACCUGAAUGAGCAAGAUUGGCUGAAGAGAACUGACCAAACCGAAUCUGUGCACAAUCCUACAACCUCUCUUCUUCCAUACAUUCUGAACUGGAAUGAAGGUGAGAUUCUCAUCAAUGUUGCCCAAUCAUUUCAGCCAUAGAACAAUAGAAAUUUAGAGCUAUAAGGGGUCACAAAAGAUGUCAACCUCUUAUCUUUAGUAAUACACAACUACAGCACUCCCAAAAAUCUCCAUCACAACCUGGGAUAAUCUAGUUACAGUUGAACACUUCUUACAAUAAUGUAAGUAAUCCUAAUGUAAUGUUAUUAAUCCUAAUGUUGAGGCGGAAUUUCUUCUCUUCUCUUUUGAAUCCAUUGGUUACAGUAUCUGAAGCAGUAGAAAGCAAGCUCUCUCAAUC